This is a non-coding RNA of Eumeta japonica, 113 nucleotides long. The record is from the annotation of a GenBank genome assembly. NCBI's taxonomy places the organism in Eukaryota, Metazoa, Arthropoda, Insecta, Lepidoptera, Psychidae.
AAACGUCUAUACCACGUUGAAUGCGCCGGUUUUCGUCCGAUCACCGCCGUUAAGCGGCGUCGGGAACGGUCAGUACUUCGAUGGGCGACCGCUUGGGAACACCGCGUGAUGUU